Molecule: ribosomal RNA, 178 nt
Filed under: uncultured bacterium
Lineage: Bacteria
Description: partial 16S ribosomal RNA
Rfam family: Bacterial small subunit ribosomal RNA
Source: RNAcentral
UGGGGGCUACGGGAGGCAGCAGUGGGGAAUAUUGCGCAAUGGGCGAAAGCCUGACGCAGCGACGCCGCGUGGGUGACGAAGGCCUUCGGGUCGUAAAACCCUGUUGCAGGGGACGAAGGAAGUGACGGUACCCUGCCAGAAAGCCCCGGCUAACUACGUGCCAGCAGCCGCGGUAAUA